GACGAACGCUGGCGGCGUGCCUAACACAUGCAAGUCGAACGAGAUCCAUGGGAGCUUGCUCCCGGAAGAUCUAGUGGCGAACGGGUGAGUAACACGUGAGAAACCUGCCCUGGAGUGGGGAAUAACUCGGGGAAACUCGAGCUAAUACCGCAUACCCUCGGAUGGUCGCAUGGCCGACCGAGGAAAGAUUUAUCGCUCUAGGAGGGUCUCGCGGCCUAUCAGCUAGUUGGUGGGGUAACGCCUACCAAGGCAACGACGGGUAGCUGGUUUGAGAGAACGAUCAGCCACACUGGGACUGAGACACGGCCCAGACUCCUACGGGAGGCAGCAGUGGGGAAUCUUGCGCAAUGGGCGAAAGCCUGACGCAGCAACGCCGCGUGCGGGAUGACGGCCUUCGUGGUUGUAAACCGCUUUCAGCAGGACGAAAAUAGACGGUACCUGCAGAAGAAGACCCCGGCUAACUACGUGCCAGCAGCCGCGGUAAU
Molecule: ribosomal RNA, 485 nt
Filed under: uncultured bacterium
Lineage: Bacteria
Description: bacterial SSU rRNA
Rfam family: Bacterial small subunit ribosomal RNA
Source: RNAcentral